UAGUGAAAAAAAUAUUGCAUGCUUGUUAAAAUAUGCUAACACAUUUAAGAUGUGUUCACAGUAACCCAGAGCAAUGAGACACAAUGUCUGAAGAAUCAUUCUCUAGAAGAUAUCUCAACAAAUUUUAUAAAAAGCUGUCACAGGCUGAGAGACUGUAUUCCCUUGGUGUAAAUUUAAAAAGUCUGGUGGUAACAUGAAUGGGUGGCAGUGAACAACACCGCCACCUGAACUUCAGUGGAAUUUCUGAUGUUUUGUUUUUCAUCGCUGUCGGAUUCUGCUGAAGUGGCAAAGAGUAAUGCACUUUAGUUUUGUUUUUAUUGAGGAUCUACUAUGUUGAGGAUGCAUGUCACUUCAGAAGACACAAAUAAACAAGGUA
Molecule: long non-coding RNA, 376 nt
Organism: Molossus molossus (Pallas's mastiff bat)
Lineage: Eukaryota; Metazoa; Chordata; Mammalia; Chiroptera; Molossidae
Exons: 3
Source: RefSeq, a predicted model, not a curated record